AAGCGAAAAUGCAGAGAUGGAUGUCUUCUGAAAGAAAAAGUGAUGGAAGAUGGCUAAGACUGAAAAGUUUCACUUUCAGUCAAGUUAAAGUGAAAUUUUAAGGCUGACUUUUUAAUUUCUUGAAUUAAUUGGCAAAUACCUAACUUACUCUUCAGCGUGACUGCAAGUUCAAAAUUAGAGAGCAGAUUCAUUCAAAUUCUUCACCAACUGUUGUAAAUUUUCCUGCUGGUGGAAAAGAAGGGGAAUUCAUUUUCUCAAUGGCUACAUUGCUAGCCAUCAUCUGGAGCUCUCUGUCUAUAAACAUGAAACCAGAAACGUUGGCGGGAGGAGACAUUAACCAAUCCGCUACCAGGCUAAUGUGGUUUCUGGAUGAAAAACUGAGAACAGACUGACCCUCUGGCCGCAGCACUCACGUCAGGGAGACGUACUCGCAGGUGCAUGCUAUUUGGUGCGGUUUGCCAAGACAAAAUAGUCAUGCUUCCUGCUGUGCGGAGAGUUUCCAACUUGAGAUGGGCAAAGGAAACUCUAAGCAGUCUGCCCUUUGCAGAUGUAUUGAAAUAUGACUGAAGUUUGCUGCUUUUUCCAUGCUUUUAUCACUACUCUGAAAACAAGAAGAGGAGCAUAGCAAAUACCCACCUAGUUACUGAGCAAAAGGAUAUUUUGCCAGUAGUUCAGUGCCCCUGGCUUAAGAUGAGAGCAAAAAGCAACAUAAAGAUCAGCCUUCCCCUUCAUCAACACCACUUGAUUACAGAGACUUGGGUUUCCAUUCAGGAUCACAGAACCUGUCCUGGGACUACCGUCUCCUCAUUGGCACAGUCUCUCUUGCCACUCCACCCCUGCAUUGAUGUGCAACCCCUCCAAUCUCCCUGCGCUGUGGCUUUUGUCACCCAUAAAGAAUCAGAGGAAAGUAAGACUACCUCCAAAAUAUCCCAAAAUAACUUGAGGAAAAGAAUUCCAAAGGAGUAUCCCUUGUGGUCUUGGGGUUUACCCUUUAAUAAGAGUCUCAACAAUUUCCUCCUCUUGGAACAGUAAAAUUUUGACCCAUUUUUGGAGGAGAAAGGUUUUGGGGAGC
This 1072-nucleotide long non-coding RNA is filed under the name Chinchilla lanigera (long-tailed chinchilla). RNAcentral describes it as "lncRNA (ENSCLAG00000022446.1)". Lineage: Eukaryota; Metazoa; Chordata; Mammalia; Rodentia; Chinchillidae. The record is from RNAcentral.